AAUAGAUACCCAGGUAGUCCACGCCGUAAACGAUGAGUGCUAAGUGUUAGAGGGUUUCCGCCCUUUAGUGCUGAAGUUAACGCAUUAAGCACUCCGCCUGGGGAGUACGGCCGCAAGGCUGAAACUCAAAGGAAUUGACGGGGGCCCGCACAAGCGGUGGAGCAUGUGGUUUAAUUCGAAGCAACGCGAAGAACCUUACCAGGUCUUGACAUCCUCUGACAACCCUAGAGAUAGGGCUUCUCCUUCGGGAGCAGAGUGACAGGUGGUGCACGGUUGUCGUCAGCUCGUGUCGUGAGAUGUUGGGUUAAGUCCCGCAACGAGCGCAACCCUUGAUCUUAGUUGCCAUCAUUAAGUUGGGCACUCUAAGGUGACUGCCGGUGACAAACCGGAGGAAGGUGGGGAUGACGUCAAAUCAUCAUGCCCCUUAGACCUGGGCUACACACGUGCUACAAUGGACGGUACAAAGAGCUGCAAGACCGCGAGGUGAGCUAAUCUCAUAAAACCGUUCUCAGUUCGGAUUGUAGGCUGC
Molecule: ribosomal RNA, 529 nt
Filed under: uncultured bacterium
Lineage: Bacteria
Description: bacterial SSU rRNA
Rfam family: Bacterial small subunit ribosomal RNA
Source: RNAcentral